AGCUCUGUGGGACCUUCUGUUCGCCGGCGAGCGGAGAACGGGUGACUAAUGCCUAUGAAUCUGCCUGUUAGUGGGGGAUAACGCGGGGAAACUCGCGCUAAUACCGCAUACGUCCUACGGGAGAAAGCGGGGGCUCUUCGGACCUCGCGCUAACGGAUGAGCCUAGGUCGGAUUAGCUAGUUGGUGGGGUAAUGGCCCACCAAGGCGACGAUCCGUAACUGGUCUGAGAGGAUGAUCAAUCCACUGGAACUGAGACACGGUCCAUACUCCUACGGGAGGCAGCAGUGGGGAAUAUUGGACAAUGGGCGAAAGCCUGAUCCAGCCGUGCCGCGUGUGUGAAGAAGGUCUUCUGAUUGUAAAGCACUUUAAGUCGGGAGGAAGGGCUGUAGGCUAAUACCUUGCAGUUUUGACGUUACCGACAGAAUAAGCACCGGCUAACUUCGUGCCAGCAGCCGCGGUAAUAC
RNAcentral lists this ribosomal RNA (464 nucleotides) under Azotobacter tropicalis. RNAcentral describes it as "bacterial SSU rRNA". It matches the Rfam family "Bacterial small subunit ribosomal RNA", at positions 65 to 526 of the family's 1533-position model. Lineage: Bacteria; Pseudomonadati; Pseudomonadota; Gammaproteobacteria; Pseudomonadales; Pseudomonadaceae. The record is from RNAcentral.